CCUUUUGAUGAUCCAGUCGGUGGACAAAAUCCAAGACGACUUUUGAAAAAGAAUGUCGGCCACCACAAAUGAAAGCAAAAUUCAAAUGAAAUGCAGAAUCGAGCCUCUAUAAAUAGAUUCAAGAUUCAGAAGACAGGCAUCGGCGAAGAAAUAUCAGAAAUUGUAAUAGACUUGUCUUAGUUUUCCUACGAUUACCACUCACUCCGAAGUUCUCCUACUAUUCCCACUCACUCUAAAUAACCAUUGUACUCCAAAGUCUUUGUAGAAGUGGAUUUCAUCAUUACAAUAAAGUCUUCAAGGUUGGAAUUCAUUACAAGCUUCCGUUAGGCACUCAACAAUCAAAAGUAAGUCCAACUAUUUAUGUUUAUUACAUUCUAAGUC
This 381-nucleotide long non-coding RNA is filed under the name Coffea arabica (coffee). RNAcentral describes it as "long non-coding RNA (CARA_LNC008368)". The record is from RNAcentral. Lineage: Eukaryota; Viridiplantae; Streptophyta; Magnoliopsida; Gentianales; Rubiaceae.